Molecule: ribosomal RNA, 506 nt
Filed under: uncultured bacterium
Lineage: Bacteria
Description: bacterial SSU rRNA
Rfam family: Bacterial small subunit ribosomal RNA
Source: RNAcentral
GACGAACGCUGGCGGCGUGGAUUAGGCAUGCAAGUCGAACGGUAUCAUCCUUUCGGGGGUGAGAGAGUGGCGAACUGGUGAGUAACACGUAGGUUAUCUACCCUCAAGACGGGGACAACCCAGGGAAACUUGGGCUAAUACCGGAUGUGAGCAACUUUUAGUUGUUUGAAAGGUGGCGUAAGCUGUCGCUUGGGGAUGAGCCUGCGUCCUAUUAGUUAGUUGGUGAGGUAACGGCUCACCUAGGCAAUGAUAGGUAGGCGGCCUUAACGGGUGGUCGCCCACACUGGGAUUGAGAUACGGCCCAGACUCCUACGGGAGGCAGCAGUCGAGAAUAGUCUACAAUGGUCGGAAGACUGAUAGUGCGACGCCGCGUGAACGAUGAAUCCCUUCGGGGUGUAAAGUUCUUUUAUAUGUGAGCAGUGCUUUCUUAUAUUAAACAGUAUGGGGAGAGAGAUAUUAGCAUAUGAAUAAGCAACGGCUAACUCCGUGCCAGCAGCCGCGGUAAA